UUAGUAAUACUAAUCCUCAAACUACCUGAUUAUUUUAAAUUCCUUCUAUAAAAUCUCGUUUCCCCUUUUCAUCACAACCCUAAAUCGAUCGCCCUAACUUCAUCUUGCUGCACAAUCAUGUCGCCGUCGUCCAGUUCGUAGUCGCCACGUCACCAUGCUGUCGUCGUCGCCACACCAUCACGCCGUCAUCAUCCAACCCGUCGCCGCCACACCAUUACACCUCUGUCAUCGAAGUCGUCAUCCCUACGCCACCGGCAAUGUGGUAUAUUUGAUCCACAUCGGCAUCACUUUCUCAACAAGUAUUUGACGUCUAUAAUCCUCUUGUAUAUCGAGUUAUGUUUUAAUCUUAUGCUUCUAGCUUUCUGUUCAUACUCUUAUUGCGUUUUAUUGGACACGAUUCAAGCUUAUGUCAUGGUUAUUUAUUUCCUUUUAUACUGAUUGAAUAUGAUUGUGGCUUAAUUGAAUAUAAUUCAGCUCUUGUAUACUGAUUGAAUAAGUUUCUGGCUUAGUUGAAUAUGGUUCAGCUCUUGUACACCGAUUGUCAUAGAGAUUUUCUUAAAAACGAUUCAACUCUUUCUAGCUUAAUUGAAUACAGUUUUGUUGUUUGGAUGUAAAGUAGAAAUCAAUCACUGCAUGUUGACUUGGGUGUAGUUUCAUAUGAUCUAAUUGGCUAAAUACUUAAGCUUUUGUUUUAUGCUUAAUCAGUAAAACUACAUCAGGAGUUAACUAAAAUCUCAUCAGUAUAACUUAUUGUAAACCACAACAGAAGAUGAUAUGUCAUUCGCAACAUAUAUGUAUAAAGCAGGAUAUUGGAUUUAUAUGUAUAUAUAUUAUUGUAUGUAUGUAUCAAGAGAUAUUGGUAAGUCCCUUUUAUACAAAGAUUGUCCAUUUCUUGAGAUAUAAUAUCAAUAUGACAGAUGGAAAUAGUUGUAUGUAAAUCAUGAUUUAUGGUGCAUAAAAUAUUGACAUGGUUUUGAAGAAAGAAAUCACACAUACUGUCAUAUUGAAUCAGUCGAAACAUGCAGCUCUAACUUUCUUUAUUUUCUAAACAUUUUCUUUUUACCUAUGGUUUUUUGAUGUGUUAAGUAUUUCAUAGGGACAACUUUACAUUUGUUUACUUAAUCUUGAAAAUGACCUUUUAAGAUAAACCAAAAAUCUAUACUUAAUGUGUUAAGACAAUAACCUUUACCUAUUGUUCGUUGUUCGUUUUUCAAGAUAAAAUUUUACAUCAUAUGGGAAACACCAAUGGGUUAAUCCUGUUCUAGCUAAGAAAAUCAGCAUUAAAGCUAGCAAUCCUAUUUCAAGAUACACAAAUCACAAGGUCUUGGCUUCACAAACCUACCAGGGCAAUCUUGGAACAAAGAACUUCUUUUGCUGGGCCUCGCAUUGAGGAUGGGAAGAACUGUUCAUGGUGGAUGAUUGACCUUGGUCUCGAUCACCAGGUUCAUUUACAGAGGAAGCUAUUGGAAGAGAGGGUGUGACUAUGCAAUUUGUUCCAGGGAAUGCAAUUACUAGUAGAGGACUGAAGGUUGUUGUUGGCAACCUUCAAGAAUAUUAUAAUGAGAACAGAUUGUUGUCUAUAUUCGAUAUUGCAUUUCAGAAAAGAAAACUAUCCACCAGUGCAAUGUGAAAAAGUCUUAUCUCAGUCUAUUACAAAGACAAUGUCCGAGAGUAAUAUUCAGAAGGGAGAUGAUGAACUUAAAGGUUCACGACAUGCUAAUGACAAUAUCAACUUUUACUAAUAGUAGACAACAAGUGAAGAAGUUGAAUUUGACAUAAAAGUUGCAAAAGAUAGGCUUGAUAGUGACCACUAUGACUUAGUCAAAGUCCAACAAAAUAUUUUCUUAAAUAUCUAGCAGUUUGCAAUGUUGGAAAAUCUAUUUGUUAUGAGAGGAAUGGAAUGGAUUAUUCCAUUGUAAUGAAAAAGAAAAUGUUGUUUGUUUCAUCAUAAUG
Lactuca sativa (garden lettuce) is the source of this 1953-nucleotide RNA transcript. RefSeq lists it as uncharacterized. The record is from RefSeq and is a predicted model, not a curated record. Lineage: Eukaryota; Viridiplantae; Streptophyta; Magnoliopsida; Asterales; Asteraceae.